GGGAAUCUUGAUGGAAGAAGAAUCAAGUCAUACACCUGGCAAACUCCCAGAAGUUCAAGAGAUUGAUCCUCCCCCACGACAAGUUGCAUCCACUAAGGAAAUUCCAGUCUCUUCGGAAGGGAUGAUUCCAAUCAAUCAACUAAAGGAGUUCAUUGAAGGGACUAUAAAAAAAUAUGAAGUCGCUUCCAAGUCCUCCUUUACCUACGUAAAGCCGUACACUUCAAGGAUCAAUAUGUUGAAGAUGUUUGCUGGCUAUCAACCUCCAAAAUUUCAACAGUUUGAUGGCAAAGGCAAUCCAAAGCAACAUGUGGCACACUUCGUUGAGACAUGAAACAAUGCUGGGACUUAUGGAGAUUACCUCGUCAAGCAGUUUGUUCGCUCAUUAAAAGGAAAUGCUUUUGAUUGGUACAUGGACCUCGAGGCUGGAUCUGUUAAUGGCUGGGAUCAACUAGAGCAAGAAUUCCUCAAUCGAUUUUAUAGCUCGAGACGUACUGUGAGUAUGAUAGAACUUACAAAUACUCGUCAACGAAAGGUUGAAUCAGUUAUCGACUUUAUCAAUCGUUGAAGGAAUGCAAGCCUCAACUGCAAAGACAGGCUUAGUGAAGCUUCGGGCAUAGAGAUGUGCAUCCAAGGCAUGCAUUGGGGACUAUGCUACAUCUUGCAAGGUAUCAAGCCUGGAACAUUUGAAGAACUUGCGACUUGUUCCCAUGACAUAGAGUUGAGCAUGUCCUCCACUGGAAAUGAAAGGUUGCCUAUCUAUGAGCCUCGCAAAGGGAACGACAAGCAAUAAGUCAUGAAAUGGAGCAAGUUUGUACCUAAAUCUAAAAACAAAGACGCUAUGAAUGUCAACACAUCACCUGUGAAGUUCACAGCGAAUGUGAGCAAAAAGCAUAUUAUGAAAUCCCUAGUCCCUAAGACUAGGUGCCAUCAUGAUACCCAAUGAAGGGAAACUUGGGUCGUGACAAGAGGAUUAAGUUUUCUAGUCCUUCCGCUUUCUUUUCAAUCAACAAUAUAUCCGGAUAUAUCAAACUUCAAAUUGUCCGCGUGCCGGGUAUAUUAAGGCCUAUUAAAAGUGGGGCCGACUCAUCCCCGCCCAUCAAAUUUCAUGAUCGGUGAGGCUUGAUUUCGGCAGCGACGAACUCGAUUCAAUCGAACCCCAUUUCUGCAACAGAAAUCAAAAAUUAAAAGUGAAGAAGCAGAAAUGUUUUUAUAUUUUUUUAAUUAUCAAACAAAACAAAACUGAUUGUUUUCUAUAUAUGAAUCAACUCUAGCCGAAAUCAAAAGAAAAUUGGAAGAAAACCUCAAAACCUAUCUUUUUUCUCUCAAACUUUUCUGUCCAACCUCUGAAUUCUUUUGAAAAAAAGCCUAUAUAUACUCACCUCUCAAACCUCCUCUUCUCCUCCUUAACAAAAUGAAUUAAAAUAACUUUGGAGACAAACACGUGAUAAAUGUAAGGUUCGGAUUAAAUGAAAUCGAUCUGACACCCUUCAUUCAUCCAUCACACGCCUUCUAGAGAUUUCAAUCACGUGAUUUUGUUUACAAACGGGCGAGUGAGGUGAGAUGAGGUAAGGAUGAGAAUAUUCUCUGUCAAAGGCCGUUAUGAUACAUGGUAGAAAGAGACGAGGAGGACUAUGUGGGGGAGUGGAUUGGAUUUUCUCGACAGUUUUGGGUGGUGGAAGAUGCGGAGAAGGGGUAGGUGCGGCUAGGUCCUUAGGGAUUAGGG
This 1723-nucleotide long non-coding RNA is filed under the name Nicotiana tabacum (common tobacco). RNAcentral describes it as "long non-coding RNA (NTAB_LNC018329)". The record is from RNAcentral. Lineage: Eukaryota; Viridiplantae; Streptophyta; Magnoliopsida; Solanales; Solanaceae.